RNAcentral lists this ribosomal RNA (1026 nucleotides) under Staphylococcus aureus. Its description in RNAcentral is "partial 23S ribosomal RNA". It matches the Rfam family "Bacterial large subunit ribosomal RNA", at positions 1461 to 2484 of the family's 2925-position model. Lineage: Bacteria; Bacillati; Bacillota; Bacilli; Caryophanales; Staphylococcaceae. The record is from RNAcentral.
UCGAUGGGGGGACGCAGUAGGAUAGGCGAAGCGUGCGAUUGGAUUGCACGUCUAAGCAGUAAGGCUGAGUAUUAGGCAAAUCCGGUACUCGUUAAGGCUGAGCUGUGAUGGGGAGAAGACAUUGUGUCUUCGAGUCGUUGAUUUCACACUGCCGAGAAAAGCCUCUAGAUAGAAAAUAGGUGCCCGUACCGCAAACCGACACAGGUAGUCAAGAUGAGAAUUCUAAGGUGAGCGAGCGAACUCUCGUUAAGGAACUCGGCAAAAUGACCCCGUAACUUCGGGAGAAGGGGUGCUCUUUAGGGUUAACGCCCAGAAGAGCCGCAGUGAAUAGGCCCAAGCGACUGUUUAUCAAAAACACAGGUCUCUGCUAAACCGUAAGGUGAUGUAUAGGGGCUGACGCCUGCCCGGUGCUGGAAGGUUAAGAGGAGUGGUUAGCUUCUGCGAAGCUACGAAUCGAAGCCCCAGUAAACGGCGGCCGUAACUAUAACGGUCCUAAGGUAGCGAAAUUCCUUGUCGGGUAAGUUCCGACCCGCACGAAAGGCGUAACGAUUUGGGCACUGUCUCAACGAGAGACUCGGUGAAAUCAUAGUACCUGUGAAGAUGCAGGUUACCCGCGACAGGACGGAAAGACCCCGUGGAGCUUUACUGUAGCCUGAUAUUGAAAUUCGGCACAGCUUGUACAGGAUAGGUAGGAGCCUUUGAAACGUGAGCGCUAGCUUACGUGGAGGCGCUGGUGGGAUACUACCCUAGCUGUGUUGGCUUUCUAACCCGCACCACUUAUCGUGGUGGGAGACAGUGUCAGGCGGGCAGUUUGACUGGGGCGGUCGCCUCCUAAAAGGUAACGGAGGCGCUCAAAGGUUCCCUCAGAAUGGUUGGAAAUCAUUCAUAGAGUGUAAAGGCAUAAGGGAGCUUGACUGCGAGACCUACAAGUCGAGCAGGGUCGAAAGACGGACUUAGUGAUCCGGUGGUUCCGCAUGGAAGGGCCAUCGCUCAACGGAUAAAAGCUACCCCGGGGAUAACAGGCUU